UUUUUUUUUGAUUAAUAAGUGUUGUUAUCGAUUCGUGUCGAAAGUUGUUCUUGAUUUUCAACAUUCUUCCGAGAAUUCAUUUAAUCAUCAUUGCUACAAUAUUUACAAAUUUAAUAUGAAAUGUUGAAGUACUUAAGUAUUUCUUUCUACAAUGGAACAAAUCGACGAUGGCGCACUUGUACCUGUGUCCGAUGUCAAACGUAAAAUACAUCAUUCUUUCCCGACGACAAUCGCGACGUCUUCUCUAUUUUGUUUCUUUAAAUAUCUAUUAUGCGAUUCGCAUAGAUUAUAUUUUACUUUUCUUAAAUUAGUGAAAUUGAAAAUUUAAAUCGACACGAUUUCGAUAAAUCAUUUUUUGACGCUAUAAGAGUAUAAAAGAAUCGUACAUGACUUAAAAUAAAUAAUAAAGAUGAAUAAAAAUAAUAGAUAAAUAGUGAAAAGUUAUUUUCACGCGCGAUGUUUGUAGCGUCGAGAUUUGAACUUGCCGAAAUUAUAUCGAUUUAUAUCAUUUAGGAAAAAUGAUUAGAUUCUCGAUGGAUCAUCGCGGAAAUUAUGCAUUGCACUUGGGCCUUCUUAGUGUUUUAUGCAGCAGUCGAGACAAUUCGUCGUCGGUGAAUUGAUUGCGUUUGGCAUGUAAUUGAAAAUGCCUAUUUAUAAUCGGCAAUUAAUAACAACUUAGCGAUAAUUAAUCCUGAAUGUGUCGAUGUGUAUAAUCUUACAAUAAACGGUAAGCAUCGUCCCGGACAGCUUGUCCUUCCCUUAAAUAUAUUAAGGCGGUGUUAUUAAUGCCUUCUGAUUUUGACAUUUUCGAGUCGAACGCAUCGUAUCUAAACAUUCGUAUAACGUAACUUAUGUUAGAACUGCAUUUGAGAUCUUUGUUAAAUGUUUGGCAUAUGUAAAAGAAUAAAAUUAUAUAAGUUUAAAAAUAAAUAAUAGAGAUUAUUUCAUAUGUAUAUAAGUAAAAAAUUUAUAUAAACAAAUAAUACAAUUUUCCACACGAAUAAUUUUAAUUUUCGUUCGAUUUGAUUAUGGCCAAAAUGAAACUGGAAAAUAUUAAUGACAUUGAAUGUAUUAUAUGUUUCGCCUGGAUUUUAAUCGAUCUCUUUUCCCUCUCACAAAAAGAAUAUGAUCUUUCUUAUUUCUCGCUCAAUAAGGUCCAAAACAUAUCACGACAGGUCCAUUUCGUCUUCCCGUUUCAUUUCCGAUUUUCAACAAAGGAACCAAACAAAAAUACGUCUUAUCUAUACAAAGUAAGACAGCGGGAUAAUAAUUGAGGUCAUUGGGUAAAUCGAGAAUUCACCUUGCGCUUACACAGGCGCAGUACAUGGCUAGCAAAUGGUCAGUAAAUACCAAUGGAGAGAGGCAAAAUCAAUAUUAUCAACAAUGAAGAUCUAAUGACAUUUUUGUAUUUUACUUUUAGACCAUCAGAUCAAUUUUUUUUAUUCUAAAUGUUAUAGUUUGCAUUAGGAACGAUGAAUUAAAGAUUCGUUGCUGACUGCGAUCAGUUUGCGCUGAAAUACGCGAUACAAUUUGUCAAAAAUACGCAAAGCCAAUAAGGAAAUGCAGAUCAGGUUGUUACUCCGAAAUGUUAUCGAUCGAAUGUUUCCGAAAGAAGCACUUUUAGAAAUGAAAAUUUAAAAAAUGUAAAGUAGCAAGUAGAUAAAUAAAACUAUAAGAGUUGUAAUGUAGAUGAGACAUUUCUUUUAAGAUGUUGAAUCCUCGGAAGCACUCUCUUUCUUUUUCUAUCACGUCUUCUUUCAUUUUUCUUAGAUCCUUUGUUGAGAAAGCUAAGCAAAUAUUUUUAGCUGUUUGACUUGUCUCCCUAUCGGUUCUGUAUAUGCUCGAUAUUAGUGCGCAGUCAAUCAAAUUAGUCGAACAUGUAAGCGUUUGUUCGCGCUUCGUGGGGUUCGCUGCGCGAUCAAUCUUUUUCUUGACUUGCAAGAUGACAGACAUAUUGAAUUAUAUAUAUAAAAAAUGAUACAUCUUAAAUACGUCACAAGGAAGCAAAGGCUGAGAAAAAAUAUAUUUUUUAUAUUUCAAUUUAUCUCAAGCAAAGAGAUCUCUCCAUUUUUUCAAACUUAAUUUUCUCGAGAAAGAACACAGAGUUUUGUAAAAAAAGUUUUAUAAUUUCUAUUUAUUUUUUAUUUUGUAUACGAAAUAUAUAAAUUAACAAUUUAUUACGAUAUUUUAUGAUAAUAUUUUUUAUAGUUAUAAUUUUUAUAUUUCUUGAUACGUAUUCUGCACAAUGUUCAUCAAGAGAUUUUUUCGCAAGGAUAUUUGGAUUAAAAAUAUUUUUGAUUAAAAAAUUAAUCGAAUAAAAAUUGGUCGAGCAAAUUAUAAAAAGUUUUAAUCUCGUCGCGAAAGUACCACGAAGUUUAGAUUAGGUUAAAACGGCGGGUAACGGCGUUCACAAAAUUUCUUUAAUCUGGUUUGCCGAUUUCUUCAAGUUUUGAAGAAAAUAGCAACUAGAUCAAUAGGUUAAAGUUAAACGAAGAAUCUGAAGAAAUUGUGAAGAUAAAAUAUUUUCUCUCUGGCAAAUUGAUAACUGCUAGAAAAGAGAGAUUAAGAGAAAUGUUACUAUUUAUUCAAAAUUAUUCGCAUAAUUUCGCACAAAUACACGUAUGUGCGCGAAUGUGAAAGAAAAUAAUGUCAGAGAUUUGAGGAAUUUGUUAUUACUUCAUUUAUCAAGCAAAUCUGUUGAUUAUUGAAAUUUUGAAUUAAAUUAGCGAGACAUGUGUGUGUUGAUUAAAACGAAUAUGAAAGGCGGUUAAUUCUAUAACAGUUUUAUAACUUUUUUUUAGUAAUUCUAUUAUUUUAUAAGAAAGAUUUAACGAUAAGAAAUUGCAAGAGCUUUUGUAUGCUCUUGUAAAAUUUUAUGACAAAUGAGAUUAGGGUUGUGCGACCGACCGCCCGCUGCUGUCGAAAGUCUAUUGGACCACUCUAUAUAAUAUGUGCUCUAUACCUAUAUUUUUCUAGACAGGCCCACGGUUUUGGUCUGCAGAGUGUUAUUUACACGCCUACAUCUUACGUACCUAUCUAUCGUUUACGAUUGACCUAUCGCGAACUCCUGAGAGAAAGGUCGGAGUCUGUUCAAAUUCAUAUCAGUAUGAUGUUCACGAUCAAAGACCUCGACGUUCCUUUUACGUUUUUACACAAGCGCGUUUAUGAUUGAUGAUGAACACGAUUGGAUAAGGUGAAACUUGUACGUUCGUUUAAAAGGAAACUAAAAAAGGCGGACAUAAAUCUUAUUUCUCUCUUUACCUCUAGAAAUCUUGCAUAAUUAAAAAAAUUCGAAUAUAUCAAAUUAUGCUAAUUUCUCCUCAAAAAUAUCAAAAUUUAAUUAAAUAUAUUUAAUUAAGCUUUAAUUAAGCAUUUUUAGUCUUUGAUCUAAAAAUGUCAAAAAAGGUAUCAUUUUAUAUCAAAAUAUGAAAUAAAUAAAAAUAAAUUUCGAGUUAAAAUUUUGUUAAAGAAAAAUCAUAUAUGUAUAUAUAUACAUAUAUAUAAUAUAUAUACAUAUAUACAUAUUCCAUAUAUAUUGUAUAUAUGUAUAUAUAUAGAAAUUUUUUCCUGGCUUUAACGUUUGUGAAUGGCAAGUUAUUAAUAAUGUUCAUUAGUAAUCCUUUUUAAACUAAUUAUAUAAUGCUAAUUAUAUUAUCCAAUGUUUAUAUAGAAAUCGAUGGCCGUCUUCCACUUCAAUAUCUAAUGAUCGUACUCGUUAAAUGCUUUGAACCAUUAAUUAUAAAGCUAUACAUACAAUGUGUAAAUUGUAGUUGUGCAUUAAUAAAAGUAGCGGAUUUCUGCUUUCUUAUAUAUUAAUGACAGAAAACUGAUACCAUAAAAAUUAAUUAAUUCAUUGUUGAUUAAUGAUAAAUAAAAUUAUUAACAUGGCAUUAUACAUGUUAUCUUUUACAACUUGGAUUUUAUUAACAGUAUGUUAAAAAAUAUGUGACAUCUUUAGAAAGACCAUUAAUUGAAAAUUCUUCGAGAAAGAUAUUCAAUAUCGUUAAUAUGAUCGCAUAUAAAAGCAUUUUAUUACCAUUCUAUUAUGGUUUUUAUGUCAAUAGCUAUAAUAAAAUUUUCUCUAUAUUCAAACGUAUAUUUAUAUAAAAAGAAAAAAAAAAUGUUUAAUAAAACGUUUAAUAAAAACGCAUUUUUAACGCGUGAAAUAAAAUUUAAAGAGAUAAAUCGUUCAUUUGAUACGGUUGCAAAGACGUAUUAUAUUGUACUAAAUGCACAUAAUUUUAUUUAUAUAUCAAUUGACUAAUAAUUGCAUAAUGUAAUCAUUUUUUUAUAGGUUUGUUAAAAAUAUUAUUAUUGUUAUUAAUGUUAAGAUAUACAUGAAAUAGUUUAUUUACAUAUUGACCAAGCAUUGUGCGCUAAUUAUUGGUUGGUGAACAGUAUUUUCGAUCGUCCUCUCUCAUGAGUUGUACGAAAUUUUGGCGCGCGUUAUAAUAUAGAUAUAAGAUGUAAAUGCGCGUCUGUGUGCGUGUAUGCGUGUACGUGCGUAUAUGUCUACGUUUAAAUACGUAACCAGAUGUAUAUUGUAUAUUCGUCUCGCGCUGGUCGACGCGGCGAUGUAUUACUCGUAAUAAAAAAAGAUUCAAUAAAUGUGUGUUUAAUUAUGAAACAUUACGCACUUUAAUUUUCAUAAUUAAAUAUGUGUUCAAUU
Formica exsecta is the source of this 4669-nucleotide long non-coding RNA. RefSeq lists it as uncharacterized. The transcript has 2 exons. Lineage: Eukaryota; Metazoa; Arthropoda; Insecta; Hymenoptera; Formicidae. The record is from RefSeq and is a predicted model, not a curated record.